Molecule: long non-coding RNA, 23433 nt
Filed under: Setaria italica (foxtail millet)
Lineage: Eukaryota; Viridiplantae; Streptophyta; Magnoliopsida; Poales; Poaceae
Description: long non-coding RNA (SITA_LNC001014)
Source: RNAcentral
AACUACAAUCACAUUCACAUUAUUAAAACAGUUGAAAAAUUGAUCUCUGGGCAGCACAAUUUUUCAUGCAACAAGGAAUCACCAUAACGCUGGUAACAAGAUAGCAUUGUGACAAUAUCAAGGCCAUUAUUGACAAUAUCAAGGCAAUUUUUUUAAGAGCAGAUCGCUCGCGUUCGUGCUGUCCCCUCUGAAAACUUCCCAUCUGUUGUGCAUGCUAAAUACCUGACAGAAUAGAAUUCACCGUCGUUGUUAGAUCAUGCUGCGGCAUUGGCAUGCCCACUCUACUUACUCAAGGAACACUGACAGUUUCUUUUUAAAGUUCAUCAGAAGUAUUUGGUGUGUAAAAUUAACGUGGAAACCGGAUGAGUUGACAAAACAAUUUACAUCUUUUGAAGCUGUCAACAACACAACAGACUAUUGACUAUUGUUUCUGCAUUGCUAAUUGGAACUACCAUCAUUAAAGUAAUUAAGCUGAAUUACCAAGUAGAGACUUGAAGAUCAAAGUCAACGAUCGAUUGCGUCAACCAACAGGGACUAUAAUAUACGAGUACUCAGGAAGAAUUUGGUCGAGUGCAUGAAUGAAAGAGAGAAAAACACCACCAACAACCUUCUCCCGCAUGGAGACGAGGGGCUGGCCGGCGGCGUCGUGGAGGACGCGGCGGUCGUGGACGCUGAAGACGGCGCCCUUUACCCGGAGCAUCUCGGCGCCGUUGGCGUCGGUGACGACGAAGUCCCCGCCGGAGAGGCUGAUGGCCUUCUUGACCACCGUCAGCGGCACCGCGUACGGCGCGCAGAACUGCGGCGGGGACACCACCGCCACCGGGGUCGGCGCCUGGGCCGGAGCUCGGUCGUUGUAGGGCGCCGCCAUUAUUUGUGGGGAGCUGGAUCGCCUUGGCGCCGGUGCAGGAGACCUCGUCGCUUGCUCGGUGGCUUUGAGUUCGAUCAGCGGCACGCGUUCUCGCUGUCCUAGCCGUAGCAGCUUCGGUUUCGCAGGCCGUUGUUGUUGGGGUCUGGACGAUCUCAAUUUAUGAACAGAGGCAGGCGCGCGCACGCGGUGUGUAGAAAUUUCGUGUGGCCUGCGGUAUAAAAAGCUCACGUGUUCUGUUGCUUGACCAAUCAAACGGAUUUACUUUUAACAAACCCAUGUUUCAAAUUGUGUGUUCCCACGUAAAUUUAUAUGUUCAAUUAUUCCUGACUUGGCGGCUGGUGUGGGUGUGUACGGUACAGCAACGGGCUAGUGACGACAAUACUAAGGUGCUCUAAGGGUACGUUUGAUUGAGCUUCCUAACAGUUUCUCAGCGUGAAAAGUCAUAAGCUUAACCAAACAGCGAAUUUUUCAUGCAGUUUCCGAAAAGUUAGAAACUUAAAAAAGCUAGAAAGCUCAGUUUUAUGAACUUUUCGUAGCUUUCUGAGCUCAAAAAGCUAAAUGCAUAUUCUAAAAGAUAGCGUUGGCCAGCUUUUCAGGAAAAAAAACUAAUAUCAGCUUUUUCGAAAAGCUCAAAAGCUGCCGCUCAAACAAACUGGUUCUAAGAUCUUCUUCAAUAGUGGAGCUAGUGUAUUAGCUCUAAACUUGUCCACCUUACAAAAGAGAUAGUAAAAAGAUUACUUAUCCAAUGAUCUAUCUUAUAGCACAUACAAGAGUGCAGAACUGAAUUUAAAACAAGCUAACUAUUGUUUCAUUCUAAAUUUUAGAUGGUUUAACUAAAUUAGGACAAAGCUAGGAAUACACUUAUUUUUGAACGGAAUGAGUAUGUAAAUAUACUUCAGUGUGUUUAGUAUACCGAUUCUGCGUGACCUCACAAAGAGCGCAUUAUCCGCAGGUAUUUAGCAUGCACGACAAAUGGAAAGUGUUCCGAGGGGACAGCACGAGUUCACGUGAUUUGCUCUUCACUGUGAAGAAAACAUCAAUUUUCCAACUGAAGACAAGUCUGGGUGUCUUUUUGGCUCGGAACACCUCAGAGCAGGUAUGUGAUUUCAAGAUCAAGGGGAGCUACUUCGAGAGAUCUUGUGCCUUCUAUCUUGGCAACUCCAACGCCAUGGUUGCUCAGGUGGGUAAUAUUGUGUCAAAUUUCUAGUUUUAUUUCAAAGUUUAAACAUAUUUUAGUGAACAUGCCUGCCAUUUGGUGCUGCAGAUGAAACGUAAGUUUACUGUGUCAAAUGUACUGCUCGGAAAGGACACGUACUGUGUUACAGUGUUCCCUAACGUUGACCACGUAUUCAUUGCGGCUCUUGCUGUGAUUCUGGAUAAGGUUCACAGGGAUCGAUCCAAAUGACGACGUGACGUCAUCGACAAAUUCCAAGCAUCCAUCAAGUAGUUUCAAUGCUACGGUCUAUUUUGCGGGGCUUCUACUGGCUUUCGCGGGUGAGCCGUUUUGCCUUCUCCCGUUUGGCACGGCUUCAUCAAAAGCCAUCCUAGAAGCCGCUCGAUGAGCCGUGCCAAAGGGGCCCUUAAUGUUUUGGUAGGUGGAAUUUACUAAAAAAUGAAUAACAAAAAUAAUUUGACAUAGUAAGGGAUAGAAUUGGGCCCAAGCAACAAGGGUAUGUGUUUGGUUUGAUGGUUGAAGUGGUUGGAAUGGGUCGGAUCCAAUUGAGCGGGUGUUUGGUUGAAAGGGUAGUGGGUUGGCUUCAUCCCAGUAAGGGAAUAUUCUCUCAUAUCCGGGUUCGUUCGGUCUGCUCAAAACGAAGAAAUUGAUCUGACCUAGAUGAACGGCGUCUUCCUCCGUUGUCUCUGCGUGCGAGGGAGGGCGGCGCGAGGUAGCUCCGCAUCGAGCGGUGCUGGACGGGGCGGCGGAGAAGGCCUCGUGGGGCCGCGUCGGCCACGGAGCAAAGCCGCAUGGGUGUGGCAUGGAGGCGGGCUGGCGGGGAGCAUUGGCGACGGUCAGUGGGGAAGCCGCGGCGGAGGCGGCGGGAGGCGGUGGAGACGACCGGCGCGGAAGCUGUGGCGGGGCCGGCGGGGAAGAUGAGGUAGGGCCGAUGGGGAGCGGUGGUAACGGCUGGAGGGGACGCCGCAGCGGAGCCAGCGGGGGCGGUGGCGACAGUCAGCGGGGAGUCAAGGCAAGGCUAGCAGGAAGUUGAGGCGGAUGGCGCAGAGGCGGGUGGAGGUCUAGAGGAUGAGGAAGAAGAUAAGGUAGAAGAAAAAAUAUAAUACAAGAGAAUGAUAAGUAGGCCCUACUGCUGACAUGCAGACUCCACAAUCUACUGUAGCUAAUGGUGUUAAGAUGACAUUCAUCUUAUCCCACCUAACCAUUACAACAUUACAAUCAAACAAGAAAUUGGGUUGAAUUCAUCCUCAUCAACCAAACACGAGAUGGGUUGAACCCAACUUAAAAAAUAGGUUGGAGCGGACCCAAUCCACUUGAUCCCGAAAUCAAACACAUGCUUAGCAGCCCAGGCAGUAGGUGGGCCUCCGGAUCCUCGCAAGGACUUCGUUUCCUACCUCCACUCCCCCGCAGUAGCAAAGUAGAAGUAGGCCAUAGAACAAUCUCCUUUUUCGGUAGCAGCAGACAGAACCAGCAGAGACAGAUGGCAGGCUUAAGAGCAUACCUUGAUCACACCUCCGUGUUGCUCAUACCGAAGUAUCAUAUGAAAUCAAAGGCUAUGUAGCACCAGUAUAGGAGAGGAAGAAGGGUUGGUUGGAGUGGUAGAAAAUCCAGGUCGAGUAAUGCGUCUGUUCCUCUUUUCUGCAAUGGCUAUAGCUGCGUGCUCGGAAAUUGAUCGAGCUCGGAGAUAGCGCGGCAAGGGCAGACAGCGACGACCGUCCACAAUGGCGGCAUGCACGCGGCGGAGCGUGGUGGGCCCACACUGCGCCACAUGCGGCCUUGACAAAGAAGAGGCAAUCAAGCGACUUCACCGUCGCCGACGACAACAGCAAACGAGAGCAAACAGCAAACGAGAGCAAGGGGCAACGGCAACAGCAAACGAGAGCAACAAGCCUACAAGGACGACAGCAAGAAUAAUCCUUGCCGCCCCCGAUCAAGUCCGUCGAUCAAGACAAACUCUAAGCACCGGCGUCGAAGCGAGCUAGCGGCGGCGAUCCCGAUCGACGACCGAUGGCGUCGCCCUCCGGCAACGAACCCCUUUUGGCGGCUGCGCCGCCGGUGCCGGCGCCGGUGGUGGUGGUGUCACCCCAGUUCUGCGCGAAGGAGGUGGUGCCGCUGACGGUGACCAAGAAGGCCAAGAGCCUCACCGGCGGCGACUUCGCCGUCACCGACCCCAGCGGCGCCGUCGUGCUGCAGUUCAAGGGCAGCGUCUGGAGUGUCCGCAACCGCCGCGUGCUCGUCGACGCCGCCGGACAACCCAUCCUCUCCAUGCACGAGAAGGUAAACACGCCGAGAUGGGCCAUCCUACCUGCCCAUCCAUUUCUCUUCUUUGUUGCUUCUUUUUUGGACAUGAUCAGAUUCGGAUGGAUCGAUCCUUCUUGCUCCGAUGCACAAAGUAGCAAAGAUCCAAUAAACCCGAACAAAAAAGUUUAAAUUGAAAAUUCCAAGUCACCUGACCUGACUACAUCGCACUACCAGGUACUCAGCAUGCACAACAGAUGGGAGGUGUUCAGAGGGGACAGCUCGAACGCGAGCGACUUGCUCUUCACCGUGAAGAGAUCCACGCUCCUGCAGCUGAGGACAGAGCUGGAAGUCUUCUUGGCCGGGAACAACACCGCCCAGCAGGCUUGCGACUUCAAGCUGAAGGGCAGCUACUUCGACAGGGAUUGCGCCUUCUACCUCGGCGACUCCAACACCAUGAUUGCUCAAGUGAGUGUUCUAGCUACUUCUUCUUAUCAUGCUUUCAAUUUUGUGCUUGAAAAUGUUUAGAUAACAUAUCUUAUAUUCGACUUUUUUGUGCUGCAGAUAAGCCGUAAGUACACUGCCUCCAAUGUCCUGCUGGGAAAGGACACGUUCAAUGUUACCGUGUUCCCUGACGUCGACCAUGUGUUCGUCGCGGUUCUUGUUGUGGUUCUGGAUGAAGUUCACAGCAGGGACCGAAACUACUGAUGAUGAACAACAACUUCCAUCGAGUUCGACGCGGGUCAUAAUUUUUACAUGUCAAAUUAUGCUAGCAGCAUACUGGACUUCGUUGAUUUAUGCUGAUGUACAUUAUUGUAUAUUUGCUUUCGAUUGAGGAGCGCUACUCUGUUUGAUUGAUCUUUGCAGUGCAUGUUUGUUUGCUUUAAGUUUUGGAAUAAUAGUUGAAUGUUCUUAACCAAAACGAGUCAUGUCGUUUUUAGUUUGCUCUUUCGAUUGAAGACUAUUCUCUAUAACUAAACGUGCAUCGAAUGUGCACAUCAAGAAGGUUGGAAAGGAAUUUAGAUCCGGGACUACUGCCUCUCUAGUCCCAGGUCCAAUUCAUCCGAGACUUUAGACAGUGAGUACUGAGGUUAAUUACCGUAAUAAGUCUUGUUGCUUGAGUCAAAAAGUUCGAAGUUUCAGGCUUCACACCACGUUAAAAAUGAAUUUACGCAUCACAAAAAAGGAGAGAAUUAAACUUGUGGAUCAGCUCACUUGGCGGUUGGGUCACAAAGAACAUGCACCGUCCAUUCUUUUGGGUUUGGCACCAAUCCCCCUAUGAUACAGGAGGUCCCUCGAUUGGCUUCCUUUGGCAAAACAUAGAGCCCCGGCCCAACGACUGUGCACGUCCGGCAAGAACGUCGUACGAGCCCCGUAUCCAAACCGACGACCAGCCCCUUGCGCUGCUAGCUGCGACGGCGAGACCUUGAUGGCGGCGCCGCCCCUCCCAGCGCCACCGCCGCCGGAGCCCAGCGGAGGCAUCGUCGAGCCGGUGCCGGUGGUGGCCCCGCAUUUCUGCGCGCCCUACGUGGUGCAGCUGAGCGUGAAGGAGAAGUAUGGCCUGCGACAGGGCGACUUCACCAUCACCGACACCAACGGCGCCGUCGUGAUCAGGGUCGAGGGCGCCUUCAUCAGCAUCCACAACCGCCGCCUCCUCCUCGACGCCAACGGAAAUCCCCUCCUCUGCAUGCGGGAGAAGGUAAACCAUGCAAUUACUUGUUGGAUGGAAAAUGGAGCCAUCCGUGCAUUUCUCUGCUCUUCCAAUACCUUUGUAGAUUCACUUGAUGGGAUCGGAGUAGAUAAUAAACUGAUAAAGAUGGGAUCAGAGUAGAUAAACUGACAAAUUAAGAUGGCUCCCUGGAUAUAGAAAAGAAAUGGGCAGGAUUCAAGAAAAAAAAGAACAAUAUUAGGACCCUUUCCGAUAGAUUGAGCAAUACAUAAAUUAAAGGUAUAAUGUUUUUCAGAAUAGUAUUGUUUAGUACAAAUUUUGAAGGACCUAGAUGAGUUGGAAUGAACCACAUGAAAAGUACGUUGAAGGAUCUAGAUGACCAUUGAGAGUUUACGAACUCAUAUGAGAAUGUGGAAAUAGUUUAGGAACCCAUAGUGUAUUUCACUCAUCCGAUUAUAUCGUUUUAAAUGUAAUUAUCUCAUAGCCUAAAUGGUUUAAUGCAUCAAUGUGCAAUAUACUCCCGACAUCCCAUAAUAUAAGCGCGCGCAGUUCAAGAUUUAAACUGAGAUUCUUGGCCUACAGUUUGUCUUACAAAAAAUAUCAUUGGACUUGUAUUUAAAACUACUUUCAUAUGGCUACAAUUUUGUUGCUACAAACAUUAUGGUAUGGGAGAUAUUAAGAAUCAAAUGUUAGUAUUGUGUAGAUCAUAUAUGUCAAGUUUGAUUAUGCCUUAUAUUUUGGGAUAGAGAGAGUACGGUUUAAGCUUUAGCAGAAGGGAGGUUGAAACAAUCCUUUAGAGAGGAAAUGAGCUUCUUCUAUUUAAGGGGUAGGAGAGUGAAAAAACGCGGCUGAGGUCCUGGCUUGAUCAUUUCGGAUAGUUCUUAUUAUAUUUUAGCUUGGGUCUUGCAGAUCAUUGUACAAUUUAUUUUCCUUCUCUGUAGUGGUCAGUAGCGGCCCCUCCUGUUUUCGUAAAAAAAAAACAUGAGUAUGAAGGUUAAAAGGAUUUCCAUUUAUGAAUUCAUUUGUCACUAUUCCUAAUCCCAACACUGUAUUUCAACUGUUCAUAUUAAUUGCCCUAAUCCCAACACUGUAUUUCAACUGUUCAUAUUAAUUGCCAAGGAUAAAGUUUUUGAUAUGACAGGUAAUACCAAUUAUCUAGCAUCACUAAUCAAUGUGCAUUGCCAGGUAAUUAGUAUGCACUACACAUGGGAAGCGUAUAGAGGGGACAGCACGAAAUCAAGUGAUUUGCUCUUCACUGCCAAGAAAUCUUCAAUCAUCCAACCGUUUGAAACAGAGAUGUACAUCUACUUGGCUUCCAACACUUCACAUGAGGUCUGCGAUUUCAAGAUGAAGGGUAGCUUCAAAGAGAGAGCGUGUUCUUUCUAUCUUGGUAACACCAACACCUUGAUAGCUCAAGUGAGUACAAAAAUUGGUUGUGCUUCUGAUCAUGCUUUGAGGAUUUAUAGAAAGUUUGUUAACAAGUGUACAAUCGGGUUAUGCAGAUGCACCGUCAGCAUAGCGCCAUGAGCACGUUGUUGGGAACAGACCACUAUGGUCUCACCGUAUUUCCAAAUGUCGACUACGUCUUCAUUUCGGCUCUUGUUGUGAUUCUACAGGAGCUUCACACGGAUAAAAAUGAUUGAUGACCACAGGGAUCCAAGCUUUCACGCAUCGAGCCGUGGAUGUCAUAUAUGAUAUAUAUAAUCUUUUUGUUUCUAUUUUUAGAGCAACUCUAGCAAUAGCUCUAAACGGAGACCCCUACAUCUUAAGUAGGGGCUUCUAGGGACCUAUUUUCUACAACUAACUCCAGUGAGGGUCUCUAAAUUUGAACUCCUAUUUAUUUCUUCUUUUAUUUUCGCACACAUCCUCUAUGUAUAUUCUUCAUUUCACACAACAUUAAUUCAAACUAAAAUAUUAAUAAUGCGUAGUGGACUAUUUCUAAAUUUGUGAUUUGAAACACACGAUCCAUAUUCAAAUUCAAAAUUUUUAAUGAAAAUGACCAUAUUCACAGCUCACUAACUUUAAAAUGCAAAACCAUCACACAGUUUGAACAAGCACGUGAGUUGAAGUUACAUGCAUCCAGGUGAAGCCACAAAAUACAAAUAUUUUAACCAAGACUAAAAAUGUUCUAAUUGUAACAAACGUGCAAAUAGACUUGGAGAGUGAAGACACUGGACCCUUUCAAGAACCGCAACCUGCAUUGUAAAAAAUAUGCAAUCAGAAAUGAAACAUGCUACCAUGUACCAAAAUUCAGUACAAGGGACUGCAAUACUAGAAUGCUCAAUGCAUCAAUUCCAUAUACCUGUGGAUAUACAACAACGCCAUCACAUCAAACAAAAUUAAAUAGUCCAAAUGGAAUGAACAACACAAGGAUAAAAUGAUCGAUAAUGAAGCAUGCUACCAUAAUACAUACCUAUUGUGAUGCUCCAUUGACAUCACCACCUUUAAAAGAGUCAAACACACCAUCAAACCUGUUGCCAAAUCCACUAUUGAAGGCAGCCAUCUUUUGUGCUGCAAUUUGUGCCCUCAUUGCCAACACAUAGGUCUUCUGAUCCAGAUCAAGGUGCUCACAUCACAGAACAUGAUCCUCUGUUCUUGCUCCCACAUGAACUUUUCCUUUUCCAAGGAUAUCUUUUGCUGAUGAAUCAUCCUCGUAUCCUUCCACCUCUCCUCCUUCAGUUUUUUCUCCUCCCCCCUCAGUUUCUUCUGUUCUUUCUUAUCCAAGAUCAACUCCUCAAUAGCUUCUUUAUAUGGACCUGCAUCUCCUCCGGUAUUCAACCUUUGCUUUGCUUUCUUCCUUCCAAUUGGCCUCUUAGUUUGGCUUGCCCGUGCUGAAUCAGGAGUCUGACUCUUACCUUUCUCAUCCCCCUCUUCUUCUUCAGGACCUUUCUCAGAUAGUGUGGAAGACUUGCUGGGCCUUGAUCUCUUGUGCAAUUUAUCUAUUGCUUGAAACUUGGGACAAUUCCACACCUUGAGCCAACGGUGAAUAAACUGAAAUGCCUUCUUUGGUGGCAUGGUAGUGAACAUUGCUUGGAGGUGCCACUGAGGAGGGACGGAGGUGCCAGCUGGAGUGGAGCACAUCCACGCACGCCGUAGCCCCACGCUUCAGCAAGAGCUCAGGCUAGCCUGAAUCUUAUCCUCCUCAUGACCUAGCGAGAUCCUGGUGGGGAAAAGAGAUGAAGAGGGAAGGAGGCAGCGCAGGUCUACGCGCGGGAUGAGCGAGAUGGAGGGAGGUGAGCGGACUGCCGUGUGCGGGAUGGAGGUGCGUGGAGUUUUCUAUUCCGCGCCAAAAUAACCGUGGAUGGGGAUCUUCGGAGGGACCCUCCAGGUCUGGGGGGUGUGGGAGGGAAUUUAGAGGCCUCCCCAAAAUGGGGGCUCUAGUAGGGAUCCUGCUGGACUUCAUUUUUUUUUACUUAGCCUCCGAAGUAGGGGCUCUAUUUAGAGGGUCUGCUGGAGUUGCUCUUACUAGUGUAAUUUAGUUCAUGAUUGCAUGCAGAGAAAAAUUUUACAGAGAUUAGUCAAACUCAUGUACUUAUGCUGAUGUAUGUGAAUGCAUAUUUUCUUUUUGGUUGGUCAAUAUUCAGUAAUUGCUUGCUACAGCGCAUGUUUGCUUGCUUGAAUAUGACAUCUGUUAGAUAGAGUUUUGAAUCAGAAUAUGAAACUUUUCAGUUGACACUUUAAAGCCCUGCGACGGCGGCACGGCGAGAGGACACACGUGCAAGGAAGGGAGGCCGGCGAGCAACGUGCCCUGCGGCGGCCUGGAGCAGCCAAUCGUGAGGAUUAGCGGCGGCUGAACCAACCGGUCGUAAGGACCGGCGGCUAGGAUUAGCUGUGCGGAAACGGAGGAUACGGAUCGUAGCCUCGCAUGAUACCAUGAAAGAGUAGAAUACUCGAUGUAUUACUCAGGCAUAGUCAGUGUACAUAUAUAGGCUAGGUGGGGAGUCACGGUGGACAGGCCCACGAGUCCAAUUACAUUCUAACACCAUCAACCAGCUGGGCCUGCAUGCAAUGGCUAGCAAUCUUCGUAAAAGAAUUAUUUUGGUAUUAAUAUUUAAUUAUAAAUAUUUUAAGGCAAGGAUGAGUAAUUAGGAAGGAGUCCGACAACUUGGCGCAGAUUUUUUUUUUCCUACGUAUCUCCCAGGAAGAAACCCUCUCCCAGCACCAGCCGGAUCAACCGAGAGCAUCGCCGGACGGACGAUCUCGGCUAACAAUCCCAAUGGCAUCGCCGCUGGCGGUGGUGGACACACGGUUCUGCGUGCCGCGCACCCUGCCGCUGACCCUGACCAUGAGCCUCACGCUCGGCGGCGCCGUCACCGACGCCAGCGGCGCCGCCGUGCUGCGAGUGGACGCCCCUCUCUUCGGGUUCCUCCACCGCUUCGUCCUCGCCGGCGUCGCCGGCCGGCCCAUCCUCUCCAUCCAGAAGAAGGCACGGCACGCUUGUCUCGCAUCACUCAAAUUUAGUCUCUCGGGUCGUCCUGCAGCUAAUUCAGGUACUUAAUCGUACGACGGACAUUGGCACAUUGCAUUUGUCAGGCAUUUAGGUGGGAAGCCUUCAGAGGGGACAGCCGGGACGCGAGGGACCUGCUCUUCACGGCCAGGAGAUCGCCGAUCUUCCAGGUGAGGACGCAGAUGGGUGUGUUCCUGGCGCCGAACACGGCGUGGCAGGGCGCCGCCUGCGGUUUCACGAUGAAGUGCAGCUACCUCGAUAGAUCAUGCGACGUUUAUCUUGGCAAAUCCAGCACCAAAAUCGCCCAGGUACGGCGAGAACAAGAAUCUUUUAAUUUGUCUCGUUUAUGAUGAUAAUGGUUUGACGUUUUUUUUUUGGUUUUGUCGAUGAGUACGUUUAUCAUCUGGUGCUGCGUGCAGGUGCGCCGUCAGUUCUCUGCAGCAGGCGUACUGCUCGGAAAGGAGAAGUUCAGCGUCACCGUGUUCCCGAACGUCGACUACGUGUUCAUCGCGGCUCUUGUUGUGAUGCUAAGCGACAUUAUUCACACGGCUGAAACAGACAGACGACGAUAACAACAGGUCCACAGAGAUCCAAGCCGUUGAUCGAACUAGGCUUGUACUGUCAUGUGACAUGCCAUCCUACAUAUAUGCUGCUGCUGCUAAUACAAAUAGUGUAAUCCAAUCGAGAGUAGCAUGCAAAGUUUUGCUAGCUGGCAGGACCGUCGACAAUUUUGUAUUUGCUUUUCGUUUGAUCAUUCUAUACAAACUAUUUGGUCAGGGCAGAUGACUUGAGUAAGAACAAUGUUUCUGACAAACACUGCGUAUUCUAUGACUGAUAAUGACCAUCUAUACAAAUACUCUGUCUCAUAAUAAUAGAAUAUACUUGCUAAACGUAAAUAAAAAGUUAAAAAUAUUUGACUUUAGGCAAACCUAAAUGUGAUAAUAUUUUUUGUGGAGGGAGUAUUUCUUUUUGAUAAAGAUAAAUAUUACUUCAGUAGGCUAACAUGUACUCUCUUUAUUCCAAAUGGUUGGUUACGUCAAACCUCUCAAACUUUGUUAAUUGCUCAAUUUUCAUAAUACCAAAUAAAUACACUACAAGUACAUAAUUCGUGGGGGAAUUUGAUAAUGAAACUAAUUUGUUGUUGUAGAUGUUGGUACUUUUAAUUUUCUACAAACUUGUCAAAUUUAGAUAGGUUUGAUUUGGGACAAAACUAAUUAAAAUUACCAAGAUUUGGAACGAGUAGUUGAAAUUAAUGCAGAUUCUCUACCCUUCUUCCAUCCGACAGCCACAUAUGGUUGCCUACAAUGAUGUACUAUACAUAUGACCGGAACCUUGAAAUUGAAAUUGUCGUGGCCAAUCGACAAGCACCAAUAUCAAAGUGAAAAGGACACCCCCCAGAAUGUCGUAAACGUAUUGCAUCCUCCAAAAUCUUAUAUACAAAUUUCGCAACUUCUUCAAGUUCCCUUCGUGUCACCCAAGAACAACAUCUUGAUCGAGACGCCAAGUCGCCAAGACGCACCCGGACCCACCUAGCGAACAAGAUAGGCUAUAGCUACCUAGUACGUACGUCCGGCGGAUCCCAAUGGCAGUGACCCCAGCGCCGGUCGUGGGCUCGCAGUUCUGCUCGCCGCAGGUGCUGCCGCUGAGACUGACGACGAAGCUCACCGGCGGCUGCACCGUCACCGACCCCGCCGGCGCUGUCCUGCUGCGGAUCGACGUCCCGCUCUUCCGCUCCUGCCCUCGACGCCGCCCGCCGGCCCAUCCUCUCCCUGCAAAGAAAGGUGUAGAGUCUCAACUCUCAAGCUUUGCACCUGAUGAACAUGAACUCCCUUUGAAUUUCGCUUCCUAGAUGAUCGAUAUGAUCUCGGCGUGUCUUCCGUGUCAGGCUCCUGGCAUGUGGCAAGUGUUCAGAGGGGACCGCAAAUGGCGGUGACCUGCUGUUCACCGCCAGGGAAUCGCCAAUGGCCACACCAAACUCAGGCCUCGACGUCUUCCUGGCCGGGAACACGGCGCAGAACGUCGCCGACUUCAAGAUCAAGGGUGACUUCGGUGGAUCCUGCUACUUCUAUCUUGGUGACUGCCACACUAUGAUCGCAACGGCAAGUGUUCUACAUCUUCUGGAUAUUGGUCCUCACUUCUCCCAUUUGACACAAAUUUAAUUUCACCGAUAUAUAUGGCGCACCGUUUUAUAUGUCGAUGCUAAUAAACUAAGAUCAAACCAUUAAGCCAAUAUAUAUAGAGUCUUUGUAGAGAAAAUAUAGAAUGCACCUCUGGAGUUGGAAUUAAUAUUUCCCUUCUGGAGUAUUGUCUUACAAUGGACAUAGUGUGAGAGCGAUUAAUUGCAACCAGUAUUAAUGUUCAAAUAAUACUAUGGCUUUUUAUUACAUUUGUAUAAUGGUAUCCAAAUUUUCUGAAGUUUCACGCCAUGUCUCAAAUAGUGAGUGACAUUAGGCGAAGUAUCCAAAUCUUAGUGAGUAUAAUUUUCUGAAGUUUCACGCCAUGUCUUAAAUAGUAUCAUCAUUGAUUAGGAACAGAUGAAGUAUAAAUUAAAAAAAGAUUGCUGCAAAAAAGAUCUGAUACCAAGCUAGGCUUGUCCAGGUGAAAAAAAACAUGUUCGGCAGGUUGCCAUUCAUAUCUUAGAUCUUAACUGAAUUUUGUCGCGAGUGUAAGCAAAAACAUUGUUUGUGCACUCAACUAUCUUUAUGCUCUUACAACCAAGAACAACAUAUGAAACAAAAGAUAGGGUACGUAUCCAGCCCAAAACACCCUAAAAGUUGUAAUGUUUGCAAAGUCGUCAAAAACCAUGGCUAGAAGCUUGCAAUAGAGUAAAUUAAGCACAGUUCUAAGUGAGAUUGUGUCCUUCAUCCAUGUAAAGAUUUCACGAGCAAACUCAAUCCCACCUAUAACAAGAUGAAAAAAAGAAAGACUAUAAAUUAAAAUGAACACAACUACACAAGUAUAUAUACAUGCCACAAUGUACACGGGUCUUAUAUCAAUUAAUCCAAACCUUUGAUGAAAGAAAUAUAUGCAGGUUCCAUUAUUGCUAGUAAAGAACGGCACCUCCACCUGAAAAUGAAUCUACUCCUUCCGUCCCAAAUUACUAUUUAUUUUUAAUUUUUCUAGGUACAUAGUUUUUUAUAUACACCUAAAUAUAUAUUAUGUCUAUAUAAAUAACAAAAGUUAUGUAUCUAAAAAAAUAAAAAAACGAGUAGUAAUUUGGGACAGGACUAAAUGAUGAUCAAAAGUGGGGAAAAUAAACUAUUUUAAUCCCCUAAUCAUUCUCCCCGAAUCUAAAUUCACACACACGAAAUCUAUCCACGGCCUUUCAACUUCUUCUCCAAGCUCUGUCCGCUGAUUUGAGACUCGGACGCCAGCAAACACACAUCAGCGACGUCCGGCCGGCCAACCCUAAUGGCAGCUCCUUCAGCGCCGCUGCUGGUGGUGGGCUUGCAGUUCUGCGCGCCGCACGUGCUGCUGCUGACGCUGGCCAUGAAGUACAACGGCCGCUGCACCGACGACAACGCCAACGGCGCGGCCGUGCUGCGGAUGGAAGAAGUCUCCUUCUUCAGCUUCCGCCGCCACUACGUCCUGGUCGAUGCCGCCGGCGUGCCCGUCAUCUCCCUGAAGGCAAAGGCAAGACACGUGUAUAUCCGAUGGUCAGUCAAGAACUCAAGCACUACCGGAAACAGUAACUUUGCCGAGUGCCCCAGGCACUCGGCGAAGGGCCAAAUACACUCGGCAAAGGGUUUGCCGAGUGUAACACUCGGCGAACCUUACUCGGCAAAGUUUUUCUCAGCAAACAGCGUGUUUGCCGAGUGUCGACCAUCGGGCACUCGGCAAAGCCUUUGCCGAGUGCCGCAAUACACUCGGCAAAAUAUGACACUCGGUACAAAGACGUUAACGGGCUGUCACGGCGACGGAAGCUUUGCCGAGUGUCCGACGGCCGACACUCGGCGAAGUCUACAUCUUUGCCGAGUGUUUCCCUAAAUACACUCGGCGACGUUUACAGGUUUGCCGAGUGUUUUCCCUAAAUACACUCGGCGAACUUUUCAUCUUUGCCGAGUGUUUCCCUAGAUACACUCGGCGAACUUUUCAUCUUUGCCAAGUGUUUUCCUAGAUACACUCGGCGAAGUUUCCAUCUUUGCCGAGUGUAUUUAAUAAAACACUCGGCAAAGAUGCCCGGCCCGCCAUUUUUUUAUGCCCCCUUUGCCGAGUGUUUUUUUGAAAACACUCGGCAAAAUGGCCUUUGUUUGCCGACUUCUAUCUUGGUGACUGCCACACUAUGAUCGCAACGGCAAGUGUUCUACAUCUUCUGGAUAGUGUUUGGAGAAUACACUCGGCAAACCCGUCUACUACUACCAGAAAUGGCCUCUUUGCCAAAUUGUUUGGCCUCUUUUCCAAAUUGAUCAAACCAUUAAGCCAAUAUAUAUAGAGUCUUUGUAGAGAAAAUAUAGAAUGCACCUCUGGAGUUGGAAUUAAUAUUUCCCUUCUGGAGUAUUGUCUUACAAUGGACAUAGUGUGAGAGCGAUUAAUUGCAACCAGUAUUAAUGUUCAAAUAAUACUAUGGCUUUUUAUUACAUUUGUAUAAUGGUAUCCAAAUUUUCUGAAGUUUCACGCCAUGUCUCAAAUAGUGACAUUAGGCAAAGUAUCCAAAUCUUAGUGAGUAUAAUUUUCUGAAGUUUCACGCCAUGUCUUAAAUGGUAUCAUCAUUGAUUUAGGAACAGAUGAUAUAAAUUAAAAAAAGAUUGCUGCAAAAAAGAUCUGAUACCAAGGCUUGUCCAGGUGAAAAAAAACAUGUUCGGCAGGUUGCCAUUCAUAUCUUAGAUCUUAACUGAAUUUUGUCGCGAGUGUAAGCAAAAACAUUGUUUGUGCACUCAACUAUCUUUAUGCUCUUACAACCAAGAACAACAUAUGAAACAAAAGAUAGGGUACGUAUCCAGCCCAAAACACCCUAAAAGUUGUAAUGUUUGCAAAGUCGUCAAAAACCAUGGCUAGAAGCUUGCAAUAGAGUAAAUUAAGCACAGUUCUAAGUGAGAUUGUGUCCUUCAUCCAUGUAAAGAUUUCACGAGCAAACUCAAUCCCACCUAUAACAAGAUGAAAAAAAGAAAGACUAUAAAUUAAAAUGAACACAACUACACAAGUAUAUAUACAUGCCACAAUGUACACGGGUCUUAUAUCAAUUAAUCCAAACCUUUGAUGAAAGAAAUAUAUGCAGGUUCCAUUAUUGCUAGUAAAGAACGGCACCUCCACCUGAAAAUGAAUCUACUCCUUCCGUCCCAAAUUACUAUUUAUUUUUAAUUUUUCUAGGUACAUAGUUUUUUAUAUACACCUAAAUAUAUAUUAUGUCUAUAUAAAUAACAAAAGUUAUGUAUCUAAAAAAAUAAAAAAACGAGUAGUAAUUUGGGACAGGACUAAAUGAUGAUCAAAAGUGGGGAAAAUAAACUAUUUUAAUCCCCUAAUCAUUCUCCCCGAAUCUAAAUUCACACACACGAAAUCUAUCCACGGCCUUUCAACUUCUUCUCCAAGCUCUGUCCGCUGAUUUGAGACUCGGACGCCAGCAAACACACAUCAGCGACGUCCGGCCGGCCAACCCUAAUGGCAGCUCCUUCAGCGCCGCUGCUGGUGGUGGGCUUGCAGUUCUGCGCGCCGCACGUGCUGCUGCUGACGCUGGCCAUGAAGUACAACGGCCGUUGCACCGACGACAACGCCAACGGCGCGGCCGUGCUGCGGAUGGAAGAAGUCUCCUUCUUCAGCUUCCGCCGCCACUACGUCCUGGUCGAUGCCGCCGGCGUGCCCGUCAUCUCCCUGAAGGCAAAGGCAAGACACGUGUAUAUCCGAUGGUCAGUCAAGAACUCAAGCACUACCGGAAACAGUAACUUUGCCGAGUGCCCCAGGCACUCGGCGAAGGGCCAAAUACACUCGGCAAAGGGUUUGCCGAGUGUAACACUCGGCGAACCUUACUCGGCAAAGUUUUUCUCAGCAAACAGCGUGUUUGCCGAGUGUCGACCAUCGGGCACUCGGCAAAGCCUUUGCCGAGUGCCGCAAUACACUCGGCAAAAUAUGACACUCGGUACAAAGACGUUAACGGGCUGUCACGGCGACGGAAGCUUUGCCGAGUGUCCGACGGCCGACACUCGGCGAAGUCUACAUCUUUGCCGAGUGUUUCCCUAAAUACACUCGGCGACGUUUACAGGUUUGCCGAGUGUUUUCCCUAAAUACACUCGGCGAACUUUUCAUCUUUGCCGAGUGUUUCCCUAGAUACACUCGGCGAACUUUUCAUCUUUGCCAAGUGUUUUCCUAGAUACACUCGGCGAAGUUUCCAUCUUUGCCGAGUGUAUUUAAUAAAACACUCGGCAAAGAUGCCCGGCCCGCCAUUUUUUUAUGCCCCCUUUGCCGAGUGUUUUUUUGAAAACACUCGGCAAAAUGGCCUUUGUUUGCCGAGUGCCUACCCUAUGGCACUCGGCAAACAAGCAAUUCCGCCAAAUUGUUUGGCCCCUUUGCCGAGUGUUUGGAGAAUACACUCGGCAAACCCGUCUACUACUACCAGAAAUGGCCUCUUUGCCAAAUUGUUUGGCCUCUUUUCCAAAUUGUUUGGCCUCUUUUCCAAUAUAUAGUCUUUGUAGAGAAAAUAUAGAAUGCACUUCUGGAGUUGGAAUUAAUAUUUCCCUUCUGGAGUAUUGUCUUACAAUGGACAUAGUGUGAGAGCGAUUAAUUGCAACCAGUAUUAAUGUUCAAAUAAUACUAUGGCUUUUUAUUACAUUUGUAUAAUGGUAUCCAAAUUUUCUGAAGUUUCACGCCAUGUCUCAAAUAGUGACAUUAGGCAAAGUAUCCAAAUCUUAGUGAGUAUAAUUUUCUGAAGUUUCACGCCAUGUCUUAAAUGGUAUCAUCAUUGAUUUAGGAACAGAUGAUAUAAAUUAAAAAAAGAUUGCUGCAAAAAAGAUCUGAUACCAAGGCUUGUCCAGGUGAAAAAAAACAUGUUCGCCAGGUUGCCAUCCAUAUCUUAGAUCUUAACUGAAUUUUGUCGCGAGUGUAAGCAAAAACAUUGUUUGUGCACUCAACUAUCUUUAUGCUCUUACAACCAAGAACAACAUAUGAAACAAAAGAUAGGGUACGUAUCCAGCCCAAAACAUCCUAAAAGUUGUAAUGUUUGCAAAAGUCGUCAAAAACCAUGGCUAGAAGCUUGCAAUAGAGUAAAUUAAGCACAGUUCUAAGUGAGAUUGUGUCCUUCAUCCAUGUAAAGAUUUCACGAGCAAACUCAAUCCCACCUAUAACAAGAUGAAAAAAAGAAAGACUAUAAAUUAAAAUGAACACAACUACACAAGUAUAUAUACAUGCCACAAUGUACACGGGUCUUAUAUCAAUUAAUCCAAACCUUUGAUGAAAGAAAUAUAUGCAGGUUCCAUUAUUGCUAGUAAAGAACGGCACCUCCACCUGAAAAUGAAUCUACUCCUUCCAUCCCAAAUUACAAUUUAUUUUAAUUUUUCUGGAUACAUAGUUUUUUAUAUACACUUAAAUAUAUAUUAUGUCUAUACAAAUAACAAAAGUUAUGUAUCUAAAAAUAAAAAACGAGUAGUAAUUUGGGACGGGACUAAAUGACGAUCAAAAGUGAGGAAAAUAAACUAUUUUAAUCCCUAAUCAUUCUCCCCGAUGUAUACCAGAUAUGAACGUAAUCUAAAUUCACACACACGAAAUCUAUCCACAGCCUUUUCAACUUCUUCUCCAAGCUCUCUCCGCUGAUUUGAGACUCGGACGCCAGCAAACACACAUCAACGACGUCCGGCCGGCCAACCCUAAUGGCAGCUCCUUCGGCGCCGCUGCUGGUGGUGGGCCCGCAGUUCUGCCCGCCGCACGUGCUGCCGCUGACGCUGGCCAUGAAGUACAACGGCCGCUGCACCGUCGACGACGCCAGCGGCGCGGCCGUGCUGCGGAUGGAAGAAGUCCCCUUCUUCAGCUUCCGCCGCCACUACGUCCUGGUCGACGCCGCCGGCGUGCCCGUCGUCUCCCUGAAGGCAAAGGCAAAACACGUGUAUAUCCGAUGAUCAGUCAAGAACUCAACAUCACCCUGAUGAACAAAUCUCGUGUCCUUGUGAUUAAUUCAUCGCGGCUUCCGUCGAUCGAUCAGUUCGGCGGGCUUUCAUGGCAGGUGUUCAGAGGCGACAGCCACGACGCCGGCGACCUGCUCUUCACCGCGACGGCGUCUUCAGGGAGGCGCUGACCAUUCAGAGGCCUCGACGUGUUCCUGGCCGGGAACACCAGGAGGGGAGCCGCUGAUUUCAGGACCAAGGGUGACUUCCGCAGAUCCGGCCGGCUACUAGCUUCUAUCUUGGCAACUCGGACAAGAUGAUUGCUUCCGUAUGUAGUAUAUCCGCUGCCAAUCAACAUAUUCCAGUAUGUGUUUUUUUUAAAAGAGUUUCUAGUAUGUGUUCGACUAUGAACAAUUUCAGGCUUCAUGAAAAGUGCUCUUUGUGACUUUUAUCUUGUGUUGCAGGUGAACCGUAUGAAAUCUUCUGGAAGGCCCGUCUUCGGUGUCACUGUGUUCCCGCACGCCGACCAUGUUCAUCAUAGCUCUUGUUUUGAUCUCACAUUAUGUUUUUACCAACAUUGAGAGGGAAAGACAAAGGCAAGAAAACAGAUGAGUUGAAGGCGCAUUCUGGUCCUGAUCUUCCUUGGAGUUCCUCUACGCCGUAUUGUCUCUCUUAUGGAUGAGUGUUGAUGUUCGGAGCAACAACAUCAGUGACUUGAAGCUGUACAAAGGUGCAUCUAAACAAAAUACCUGCCUGCAUUCACAUUUUUUUCAUUUAAUACGUUAAGAGAAAUAUCACUCCUCUCCCACAUUCACGUUGCAUUUUUUUCAAAUAAUAUGUUAAGAGAAAUAUUUAAAAAGUAAUCAGAUGAAGUAAACAGUUCCUCUUCAUAAUUCUGAUUGCUUUAAAGCAGUUCGAGUAACGUAAAAAUGAAUAUUGAGAAACCAAAUCAACUAUAAUAAAAGAUCAUGUGGGGGAUCAAACCCUGGAGGCUGAAGUCCUGAUCUUACCAAGUUUUUCAGUGAGAACUUUGCUCUGCAGGCUCGUAAAUGUGAUAUACAUCAUGAUGAACAUGUAUGUACCAAAGAAAUAGUGAAAAUGCUACCUCUGCUUAAGUCCAUUACAUACCCUUCUAGUCAUAUAUUCAGACCAAUUUCAGACCUACUCCUUUGGACCCCAUUGAAUGAGGUGGGCAGUGGUGGAUUUUUUACAGCCCACCGUACAAAAAUUUGAUGUAUGAAUGGAGAGGGUUUUACACGGGUGGCUCCAGUUCUCGGUGGUGAAAUUGAAGCUACAAGCUAGGAGUCACAAGAAACCCGAACUUAACACAUAAGCUGGUUCUCGCUCCCCUAUACUUUAAGAGGAUAUCUAGGUUGUAUUAAACCACCAUACCAUACCACUAGGCCAUGCAUAUGGGUCAACAAUUACUACUGUAAAAGGAUAUCUAGGUUAUCUAGGCCAGGGUAUUAUAUAAGGAGACUAGGGGGCAGGGCAUCUAAAUGCAGGUCUUGACACGACAAUAGAGAAUUGAAUAGUCUGAUGUAGUUGUACCAUACAACAUGGCACAAGUAAGGUGGUGGGGUAGCCCGAGCAACACAUCGGCCUUCUAGUCAAUCUGAAGUUAGGUUGGAGAGAACAAGAAGAAUUAAAUGCUUAAAUCAAUCUCUAGAGAGCAUGAAGAACAAGAGUGAAUUAUAAUAAGGACAUCAAUUUUUUGGGGGGUUAAGAAAGGUCACUGUGAAUCAUUAAGAUCAUAUUUCGACUUACAUAUUACUCUCACAUCUUUUGCGUAUUCAAAUGUACCUCAUGCGGCGAUACGGUAUAUGCCACCGUCGCGGGGGUGGCAUGGCUACAGAGUAGAGCAGUGUGUAGCUCAUGGAGUGCUUGCUAUCUUCGGACUACACACAUGUCGGUUGCCGACGCUGAAACAGACGCCCUCGACUCGCAGCACGACGGCGCCGUCAGCGCCGGUGACGGUGAAGUCGCCGCCGGAGAAGCUCAUGGCCAUCUUGGUCACGGUCAGCGGCACCGUGCGCGGCGCGCAGAACUGCGGGGACACCACCGCCACCGGUGCCGGCGCCGGCGCCAGCGCUGAAGGAUCUCUGUACGGUGCUGCCAUGGCCAUGGGGAUCGGAUCGACGAAGCUGGCUCGAUCCCCUUGUCGUCUCCGGUGGAUGGAUUUGAGUAUUUGACGGUCGUGGUGCUCGAAGGAUUUACACGCGCUUUUGCUGUACUCGAAGGCUCAGCUUCAGCUUCCGUGUGCUCGUCUUUGGAGUGUGACAGCUUUGAAAGGAAAGUGCGAAGAUCUUCUGUGUAAUUGCGAAGAAGGUCGGCGCAUAGCGACCCUGUUACGUAUCCGGCCGAUCAACCAAUCCAGAAAUGAGAAAUCAUGCACGAACCCUGCUGUGUGAACUGUGGGCUGGUUUUUCUGAAUGUCCAGCAGAUUCAGGAGGCCUCAUUCAUUCCUAAAUGGACUAGUUCGGCCAUUUCAAGGGCCCAAUGCGGGUGGCAGCCCAUACAAGUCAGUGGAGUCCUUACAACAAAGGGCACAGAGUUAGUACACAUUAUUUAGCUAAAAAAAGCAGUAGUACACAUUAUUGAACGUCGGCAUAACACAGUAUGAAUCAACAAAGUUCAAUAGUUGAUUCUGCUAGCAUAAUUUGACAAGCAAAACCCUCAACCGCGGUUUACAACAUCAAAUUUGCGUCCAACUCGAUGGAAGCUUGGAGUUGAUGGUGGUGGUCUUCAGUCGGAUCGUUCCCUGUGAAUCUCAUCCAGAAUCACCACCAGAGCAGCGACGAACACGUAAUCGACAUGCGGGAACACGGUGACACCGAACGUGUCCUUCCCGAGCAGCACAUUCGAGACAGUGUACUGACGGUUCAUCUGCAGCACCAAAUGACAACCACAUCAAUCUACUGAAUAUUUGCAGAACUCCAAAACUACGAUUAGAAACAGAGCCUUUUUCUUUUCUUUUUGGGUACGCACUUGGGCAAUCAUGGUGUUGGAGUUGCCGAGGUAGAAGGCGCACGACCUCUCGAAGUAGCUGCCUUUGAUCUUGAAAUCGCAGGCCUGCUCCGCGGUGUUGGAAGCCAGGAAGACAUCCAGCUCCGUCUUCAGCUGGAUGAUUGAGCUCUUCUUCACGGUGAAGAGCAGGUCGCUUGCCUUCGCGCUAUCCCCUCUGAACACGUCCCAUCUUUUGUGCAUGCUGAAUACCUGGUAAAUGUGCCACGGUGAGGCGAUGCUAAACUGGUAUAUAUGAUCGACCUACUAGAGCGUAUUAAACAGAGGGCUUGUUGGUUUUGUAGCAAUGGUACGGGGAUUUAACGUAAAAAAAAAUGCAUGGAAAUUGGAUGUGUUGGUAACAGAGUGAUGUCCUGUAAAUCUGUCAACAAGUUCCUGUUUUUUGUAGUACAGUCUAAUACAGAGAGUUAAAAAUAGGUUUCUGUCACAAACAAAGUUCAGAAAUUAUUUUGUUUUUACUCUCUCGCAAAACCUUAUGGUUAUAUUGAGUUGUUGGACUUCAGCUUUAUUUGAACCUUGCUAUGUGAUGCUCACUUAAUAUCAUGCUCAGUAUGAAUUCUUAAGUUGGAUUGCGGAAGCAUCCCAAAUCCUGAUUCCUGGAAGUCCAAAUCGUAAAAUUUCUUUUAAUCAAGUAGUGAGUUUUGACAGAGAUUGCGCAGGGAACUAAACUAUUGCUACCGUUCCUCAGUACGAGAGUACCCUGUGAUCAACUAGCACUUCAGUCAGGUACUCAGGAGUCAGGAAGCAUCAAUUUCCAAAUGCAGACGCCCUUCCAUGCCAUGAAAUUGACCAAGUAGUGGAAUAUGAAGAAAUAUUUCUUUAUCACGAUUUGAAGCACAACUUUUUUUGCUUAAGCUCGGCAAUUGAUCCUGCAUUCAUGCUCCUAUCUUCUCCCUCAAAUCGACCAUCCAAUCUCAUUUAGCAACUUUGAAUAAAGAAGGAAUAAAACAGAGAAUAGAUCAAGAGAGUGAAUAAAGAAGGGAAAAAACAGAGAAUACAUCAAGAGAGUGAUGUUUGUUCUUUUUUUUCUGUUCUUGUUUCUAGGACAACGGUCGAUCCUUCUGAACUUCAGAUCAAGCCAAUCAAAGGAAAGAAACAAAGAAAUGGAUGGCUGAUCCGUGCAUAUAUUUACCUUCUGCUGCAUGGAGAGGAUGGGCUGGCCGGCGGCGUCGAGGAGCACGCGGCGGCGGUGGACGCUGAAGAGGGCGCCCUUGACCAGCAGCACGACGGCGCCGUUGGCAUCGGUGACGGUGAAGUCGCCGUCGGAGAGGCUGAUGGCCUUCUGCGUCACCGUCAGGGGCACCACGUACGGCGCGCAGAACUGCGGGGAUACCACCGCCACCAGGGCCGCCGGCGCCGCCGCCGCCGCCAUGGGAUUGAGAUCGGCGCCUCCGCACCUCUCCUGCAACGGCGGCUUUGCUCGGUGGAUUCGAUCGGCGGUGAGCGGCGAGCUUCCACGUGCCGUCGUGCUCUAGUUGUCUUGUUGGAGUCCGGGCGGUUUAUCUUGCCUUCGCCCCCGACAAAAGGUGGUGGAGAGAGCAAAGGGAGGAUGUACCAGGGUGCUUGUGGGCCCAUCGAACAGAUGCCAGAAUAUCAGAUAUUUUUUAUUUAUAGAUUUCGGAUUCGUAUACUAAAAUAAAUGGUAAUUCUUUUUUUUGAAAAAACAGAAAAUUAUAAUUCGUAUUCAAAUGGUAACACUUUUUUUUGUGGGGGAGGGAGGGACAGACAUUGCAUGACAACCCACAAACUACAAUCACAUUCACAUUAUUAAAACAGUUGAAAAAUUGAUCUCUGGGCAGCACAAUUUUUCAUGCAACAAGGAAUACAAGAUAGCAUUGUGACAAUAUCAAGGCCAUUAUUGAACUCGAUGGAAGCUUUAAUUUUAAGGCCGAUGUGAAUCAUCAGUCGAAUCGCUCCCUGUGAAUCUCAUCCAAGAUCACAACAAGAGCCGCGAUGAACACGUAGUCGACAUGCGGGAACACGGUGACG